GAAUGCUGACAUAAGUAACGAUAAAGCGGGUGAAAAGCCCGCUCGCCGGAAGACCAAGGGUUCCUGUCCAACGUUAAUCGGGGCAGGGUGAGUCGACCCCUAAGGCGAGGCCGAAAGGCGUAGUCGAUGGGAAACGGGUUAAUAUUCCCGUACUUGGUGUUACUGCGAAGGGGGGACGGAGAAGGCUAUGUUGGCCGGGCGACGGUUGUCCCGGUUUAAGCGUGUAGGUGUGUGUUCCAGGUAAAUCCGGUUCACUUUAACACUGAGGCGUGACGACGAGGCACUACGGUGCUGAAGCAACAAAUGCCCUGCUUCCAGGAAAAGCCUCUAAGCAUCAGGUAACAUCAAAUCGUACCCCAAACCGACACAGGUGGUCAGGUAGAGAAUACCAAGGCGCUUGAGAGAACUCGGGUGAAGGAACUAGGCAAAAUGGUGCCGUAACUUCGGGAGAAGGCACGCUGACACGUAGGUGAAGUGAUUUACUCAUGGAGCUGAAGUCAGUCGAAGAUACCAGCUGGCUGCAACUGUUUAUUAAAAACACAGCACUGUGCAAACACGAAAGUGGACGUAUACGGUGUGACGCCUGCCCGGUGCCGGAAGGUUAAUUGAUGGGGUCAGCGCAAGCGAAGCUCCUGAUCGAAGCCCCGGUAAACGGCGGCCGUAACUAUAACGGUCCUAAGGUAGCGAAAUUCCUUGUCGGGUAAGUUCCGACCUGCACGAAUGGCGUAAUGAUGGCCAGGCUGUCUCCACCCGAGACUCAGUGAAAUUGAACUCGCUGUGAAGAUGCAGUGUACCCGCGGCAAGACGGAAAGACCCCGUGAACCUUUACUAUAGCUUGACACUGAACAUUGAGCCUUGAUGUGUAGGAUAGGUGGGAGGCUUUGAAGUGUGGACGCCAGUCUGCAUGGAGCCGACCUUGAAAUACCACCCUUUAAUGUUUGAUGUUCUAACGUGGACCCGUUACCCGGGUUGCGGACAGUGUCUGGUGGGUAGUUUGACUGGGGCGGUCUCCUCCUAAAGAGUAACGGAGGAGCACGAAGGUUGGCUAAUCCUGGUCGGACAUCAGGAGGUUAGUGCAAUGGCAUAAGCCAGCUUGACUGCGAGCGUGACGGCGCGAGCAGGUGCGAAAGCAGGUCAUAGUGAUCCGGUGGUUCUGAAUGGAAGGGCCAUCGCUCAACGGAUAAAAGGUACUCCGGGGAUAACAGGCUGAUACCGCCCAAGAGUUCAUAUCGACGGCGGUGUUUGGCACCUCGAUGUCGGCUCAUCACAUCCUGGGGCUGAAGUAGGUCCCAAGGGUAUGGCUGUUCGCCAUUUAAAGUGGUACGCGAGCUGGGUUUAGAACGUCGUGAGACAGUUCGGUCCCUAUCUGCCGUGGGCGCUGGAGAACUGAGGGGGGCUGCUCCUAGU
This 1407-nucleotide ribosomal RNA is filed under the name Salmonella enterica. RNAcentral describes it as "partial 23S ribosomal RNA". It matches the Rfam family "Bacterial large subunit ribosomal RNA", at positions 1292 to 2682 of the family's 2925-position model. Lineage: Bacteria; Pseudomonadati; Pseudomonadota; Gammaproteobacteria; Enterobacterales; Enterobacteriaceae. The record is from RNAcentral. RNAcentral also lists the same sequence under 1 other name.